CGCAGCCCCUGGAUCUGUGCAGUUACCAGCAAAUCCCUUGAGAACUUUCCCCUCUGACACCCGGGAAAUGAGACUUUGGCUCCAUGUAGUGUUCCUUGCAGUGGCUUUGGAAGGUGUCCAGUCCCAGGUGCAGCUGGUGGAGUCCGGAGGGGAUGUGAAAAAGCCCGGAGACUCUCUCCGCCUCUCCUGCAAAGCCUCCGGGUUCAUCUUCAGCAGCUACGCUAUGAGCUGGGUCCGGCAGGCUCCAGGGAAGGGGAUGGAGUGGGUCUCAUACAUUUACACUGAUGGGAGCCAACAAUUUUACAGAGACUCAGUGAAAGGCCGAUUCACCAUCUCCAGAGACAACCCCAACAACCUGCUGUAUCUGCAAAUGACUGGCCUGAAGCCCGAGGACACCGCCCGGUAUCACUGUGCGGGACACACAGUGAGGGGAAGCCGGGCUGAGCUCAGACAAAAACCUGCCCUCGCUGGCUAAGGACAAACUCUCCGCUGGGGGCGCUGGAGUUCUACAGCUCGCAGCGGAGAGACAGUGAGCGAGAAAACUCCUGUCCUCCGCUGCCUGUCUGUGACUCUCACACACACAG
Molecule: non-coding RNA, 584 nt
Organism: Trachemys scripta elegans
Lineage: Eukaryota; Metazoa; Chordata; Testudines; Emydidae
Source: the annotation of a RefSeq genome assembly